UAAUUGAAGAGUUUGAUCAUGGCUCAGAUUGAACGCUGGCGGCAGGCCUAACACAUGCAAGUCGGGCGGUAACAGGGAGAAGCUUGCUUCUCUGCUGACGAGCGGCGGACGGGUGAGUAAUGUAUGGGGAUCUGCCUGAUGGCGGGGGAUAACUACUGGAAACGGUAGCUAAUACCGCAUAAUGUCUUCGGACCAAAGC
This 199-nucleotide ribosomal RNA is filed under the name Morganella morganii. Its description in RNAcentral is "partial 16S ribosomal RNA". It matches the Rfam family "Bacterial small subunit ribosomal RNA", at positions 1 to 207 of the family's 1533-position model. The record is from RNAcentral. Lineage: Bacteria; Pseudomonadati; Pseudomonadota; Gammaproteobacteria; Enterobacterales; Morganellaceae.